AGAGUUUGAUCCUGGCUCAGGAUGAACGCUGGCGGCGUGCUUAACACAUGCAAGUCGAGCGAAGCGUAUUUGCGGAAGUUUUCGGAUGGAAGCGGAUGCGACUUAGCGGCGGACGGGUGAGUAACGCGUGGGUAACCUGCCUCAUACAGGGGGAUAACAGUUAGAAAUGACUGCUAAUACCGCAUAAGCGCACAGGACCGCAUGGUCCGGUGUGAAAAACUCCGGUGGUAUGAGAUGGACCCGCGUCUGAUUAGCUGGUUGGCGGGGUAACGGCCCACCAAGGCGAAGAUCAGUAGCCGACCUGAGAGGGUGGCCGGCCACAUUGGGACUGAGACACGGCCCAAACUCCUACGGGAGGCAGCAGUGGGGAAUAUUGCACAAUGGGGGAAACCCUGAUGCAGCAACGCCGCGUGAGUGAAGAAGUAUUUCGGUAUGUAAAGCUCUAUCAGCAGGGAAGAAAAAAGACGGUACCUGACUAAGAAGCCCCGGCUAACUACGUGCCAGCAGCCGCGGUAAUACGUAGGGGGCAAGCGUUAUCCGGAUUUACUGGGUGUAAAGGGAGCGUAGACGGCAUAGCAAGUCUGAAGUGAAAGCCCGUGGCUCAACCGCGGAACUGCUUUGGAAACUGUUAAGCUGGAGUACUGGAGAGGCAAGCGGAAUUCCUAGUGUAGCGGUGAAAUGCGUAGAUAUUAGGAGGAACACCAGUGGCGAAGGCGGCUUGCUGGACAGAGACUGACGUUGAGGCUCGAAAGCGUGGGGAGCAAACAGGAUUAGAUACCCUGGUAGUCCACGC
This 793-nucleotide ribosomal RNA is filed under the name uncultured bacterium. RNAcentral describes it as "bacterial SSU rRNA". It matches the Rfam family "Bacterial small subunit ribosomal RNA", at positions 8 to 800 of the family's 1533-position model. The record is from RNAcentral.